This 615-nucleotide unclassified non-coding RNA is filed under the name Hevea brasiliensis (rubber tree). The record is from RNAcentral. Lineage: Eukaryota; Viridiplantae; Streptophyta; Magnoliopsida; Malpighiales; Euphorbiaceae.
ACAGCCUAGAAGCCAUAUGAGAAACUUGAGCCUGCAUCUGAACAGCCUUAACCUUUGACGCCGUGGCACGAUGAAUGAAUUGUUCACGCGACAACAACCUUACAUUCCUCAAGUACUGAUCAAAAGGAAUUGCCCCAUCUUGUAUAGCUUUAUCCAACGAAUAAAUCACAUCCUCCAUAGCUAAAUCCGAGGCUGUACAAUCCAACAUCUGUUUCGAAAGUCUAUCACAAAGCUCAAACGCCUCGUCCACAUCCACAUUCCCUAUUUUCUUAACUUUCGUUUCGUUAUCUCUAACCCACCCUUCCAACACAUCAGCAUUCAUCAAAACCAUCAGUAAUUGCUGCUCUAACCCCUCCUUUUCAUCCAGCAUUUCCUUAACACCUUUCCUCAACUCCUCCUCACGACGCCUCAACACUCCUUGUGCAUUAAACAACCCUUCCAUAUCCGACUCCCUCGCCUUCCCCAACCCUUCAAUAUCACUAUGCAAUUUCAGCAUAAGCUCAUCUAUUGCAUUUUUCUUAUCCACCUCCGACGGAUCAUCCAUUUUCCUCCUCACUACCCCACCACUCCCACUCCCAUAAGGUGAUGGUGGAUACACCCGAGGUGGUAUCGCAG